AUGUCAGAUUCAGGGGGAGCAAGACAUCUAAGGAAAAGAAAUCAGUCAAAUUCAUUGCAUAUCUUUAUUCUUGGGGACAUGUUGAAUCCAAUGUGGUACCUUGUACUCACUCUCUACAUGUCAUCCCAGUCUUUUUGGCAUUCUUGUGGUUUCUUUUGUUUGCUCUGGCUAGUGGAUGUACCUGUGUUAUCUAACUUUGUUUGUGCAGGUUCAUUCCAUCCUAAGCCAACUCAAGACCACAAGGUAAGUAUAUGCAUCAAAAUCAUGAGUAUGAGGAAUUCUUGCUUAUGUACAUACUAUUUGCAAGAAGGACUCAUGAGCAUGAAGGUAUUUUCCUUGAUAAUCUUUUGCUCUGAUGCAUAUGGCCAAGAUACAUGUAACACAUUGCCUACUCUGUCAUGGUUAUGCUCUCACAUGCCUCUAUAUUUCAUAUUUACACGAGUGCAUACAUGUAGGGGGAGCCUAUGCUUGUUACAUGUACUUCCAAAGCUUUACUUGCUGUUCUUUAUAUCUUUAUCUAAAGCUUUGAUGUAUGUUGCCAUCAAUUACCAAAAAGGGGGAGAUUGA
RNAcentral lists this ribosomal RNA (567 nucleotides) under Triticum aestivum (bread wheat). Its description in RNAcentral is "partial small subunit ribosomal RNA". Lineage: Eukaryota; Viridiplantae; Streptophyta; Magnoliopsida; Poales; Poaceae. The record is from RNAcentral.